UUUUUGUUUUUUCUUAUCCGUUAAUUUCGUUGUGGACAAGUGGAUCUGGUUUUUCCCCAUCAUCCUCACCAUUUUCCUCUCCCAAAUCGCCCAAUUUUGCCAAAAAAUCGUAUUCAUAAACCAUCUCAUGGGAUCCCCUGACUGGAUCUGGAUUGGAAGGCCCGGACAACCGGCCACUUGGCUCGGACAUUUAGUCUCUUGAGGACAACAAGCCAUAUGCGCCUUGUUUUGAAGUUUUUCUUCGAUUCUUCCGCCAUUUCUUCUGCAUCCCAUUUACAUUUGAGAUUUUUAGUCAUGAGCCC
RNAcentral lists this long non-coding RNA (302 nucleotides) under Hordeum vulgare. Its description in RNAcentral is "long non-coding RNA (HVUL_LNC019046)". The record is from RNAcentral. Lineage: Eukaryota; Viridiplantae; Streptophyta; Magnoliopsida; Poales; Poaceae.